AACCUCCGCAAUGUGAGAAAUCGCGACGGGGGGAUCCCAAGUGCCAUUCUUAACGGGAUGGCUUUUCAUUAGUGUAAAGAGCUUUUGGAAUAAGGGCUGGGCAAGACCGGUGCCAGCCGUCGCGGUAACACCGGCAGCUCUAGUGGUAGCAGUUUUUAUUGGGCCUAAAGCGUCCGUAGCCGGUUUAAUAAGUCUCUGGUGAAAUCCUGUAGCUUAACUGUGGGAAUUGCUGGAGAUACUAUUAGACUUGAGACCGGGAGAGGUUAGAGGUACUCCCAGGGUAGAGGUGAAAUUCUGUAAUCCUGGGAGGACCGCCUGUUGCGAAGGCGUCUAACUGGAACGGUUCUGACGGUGAGGGACGAAAGUUAGGGGCGCGAACCGGAUUAGAUACCCGGGUAGUCCUAACCGUAAACGAUGCGGACUUGGUGUUGGGGUGGCUUUGAGCUGCUCCAGUGCCGAAGGGAAGCUGUUAAGUCCGCCGCCUGGGAAGUACGGUCGCAAGACUGAAACUUAAAGGAAUU
This 521-nucleotide ribosomal RNA is filed under the name uncultured bacterium. Its description in RNAcentral is "bacterial SSU rRNA". It matches the Rfam family "Archaeal small subunit ribosomal RNA", at positions 345 to 866 of the family's 1478-position model. The record is from RNAcentral.